AAAAAUAAAAAAUAACCAGAAACUGAUCAGCAGGCAAAUGCUUAACUUAUGCUCAAGAAUUAGCCUACUUAUAGUAAAAAUAAUAAUAAAGGAAAUGAGAACACAAAAAUGAAUUCAAACUUAUUUCACAUACUCAAAAACGUCCAAAACAUAUAGUAGAUGUAACCUGGUGCACUAUUCAAAAUGUAAUAAAUCAUAAGGACGAUAACAAGUGGUAAUCGACGAAUAUGCAUUAAUUCGAAACCAAGCAACCUUUUAUCAUACAACAGCCAUGAGCCAAGCAAAGAACAAAGUCAAUCGAGGAAGCAACAAAACAAACUGAAAUGAGUUNNNN
Molecule: long non-coding RNA, 334 nt
Filed under: Solanum tuberosum (potato)
Lineage: Eukaryota; Viridiplantae; Streptophyta; Magnoliopsida; Solanales; Solanaceae
Description: long non-coding RNA (STUB_LNC001010)
Source: RNAcentral